AAUGCUAAAUGGCAAUACUCAGUGUUCGCUGUCCUUUCCACGAUGUAUGUUGUACUUGCAGAAGAGGAACAGAAGUCAGUGUCGUUCGACUUGGCCUCGGCAAUGAUGGCUGGUACAGUGGGUGUCAUGGUAGCGUUAAUUGGCAUAGUUAUGUAUAUAUGGCAGGUUCACUGCAGAGAAUAUACGCAAAAAUACCCGGAAGAAUCGCCAGAAUGGAUUGCAGGAAAGUCAGCGGUGGAAUCAGUCAUGGGAAUAAACAUGACGCCAGAUUACGCAAUCAUGGAACUUGAAUAAACUAACGAUCAAUUUGGACAUCCAAACGAUAUUUUGGGAACGUCAUACAUGUUACAAAAACCAGUGAGGUCAACAAAAUGCUUGUUUCUAAAAUUAUGCGGUGACGUUUUUUUUAUCUUCAAUCAUAGGGUUCAUAGUUCAACGUAUAAUAUUCAUAUUAAGUAAUGCUUCCCAAUAGAGUUUAUUUUGGAUCGACAAAACAUUCUCUAAAACUGUAAAGAAAUACUAGUAUUUUUCAAUUGUACCGUAUGUGGCGCACUUCACCAGUACGCAAAAUUUCAAACUCGGAUGACGAGAAGCAAAACUUAAUUUUUGACCUGACGGGAGAUUAAUCAUCGUAUAACUGCCAUGACUGAUUUGGUUUCCAAUAUUCUUCCUUGAUUUGUAACUUUCUGUAAUAUAUAGUGAGCAACAUUGCAAUUUUGAUAUAAACAACACUAUUGUGAUAACCUUGGCACUUUGAAUUAAAUAACGAUCUAAGCAUU
Molecule: long non-coding RNA, 779 nt
Organism: Saccoglossus kowalevskii
Lineage: Eukaryota; Metazoa; Hemichordata; Enteropneusta; Harrimaniidae
Source: RefSeq, a predicted model, not a curated record